This 850-nucleotide ribosomal RNA is filed under the name uncultured bacterium. RNAcentral describes it as "bacterial SSU rRNA". It matches the Rfam family "Bacterial small subunit ribosomal RNA", at positions 42 to 868 of the family's 1533-position model. The record is from RNAcentral.
AUGNGGNNCCUANCAUGCAAGUCGAGCGGUAAGGCCCCUUCGGGGGUACACGAGCGGCGAACGGGAGAGUAACGCGUGGGUAACCUACCCAGAAGUGGGGGAUAGCCUCGGGAAACCGAGGGUAAUACCGCAUGUACUUCAGUCGACAACAGUCGAUUGCCGAAAAGGCGGGGAUCUUCGGACCUGUCGCUUCUGGAUGGGCCCGCGUCCGAUUAGCUUGUUGGUAGGGUAAUGGCCUACCAAGGCUUCGAUCGGUAGCCGGCCUGAGAGGGUGAACGGCCUCAUUGGGACUGAGACACGGCCCAGACUCCUACGGGAGGCAGCAGUGGGGAAUUUUGGGCAAUGGGCGCAAGCCUGACCCAGCGACGCCGCGUGGAGGAUGAAGGCCUUCGGGUUGUAAACUCCCGUCAGGUGGGAAGAAAUGCCCGUCGGUUAAUAUCCGAUGGGAGUUGACGGUACCACCAAAGGAAGCCCCGGCUAACUCCGUGCCAGCAGCCGCGGUAAUACGGAGGGGGCAAGCGUUAUUCGGAUUUACUGGGCGUAGAGCGCACGUAGGUGGCAAUGUAAGUCAUAGGUGAAAGCCCUCGGCUCAACCGAGGAACUGCCUUUGAAACUGCUUUGCUUGAGUCCGGGAGGGGGGAGCGGAAUUCCCAGUGUAGCGGUGAAAUGCGUAGAUACUGGGAGGAACACCGGUGGCGAAGGCGGCUCCCUGGACCGGUACUGACACUGAGGUGCGAAAGCGUGGGUAGCAAACAGGAUUAGAUACCCUGGUAGUCCACGCCGUAAACGAUGGGCACUAGGUGCAGCGGGUGUCGACCCCUGCUGUGCCGUAGUUAACGCAUUAAGUGCC